GAUGAACGCUGGCGGCGUGCCUAAUACAUGCAAGUCGAGCGAACGGACGAGAAGCUUGCUUCUCUGAUGUUAGCGGCGGACGGGUGUGAAACACGUGUAUAAUCCACUUAUAAGACUGGGAUAACUUCGGGACACCGGAGCUUAUACCGGAUGAUAUUUUGCACCGUAUGGUUCAAAAGUGAAAGUCGGUCUUGCUGUCACUACUAGAUGGUUCCGGGCUGGAUUAGCUAGUUGGUAGGGUAACGGCUUACCAAGGCAACGAUGCAUAGCCGAGCUGAGAGGCGGAUCGCCCACACGAGAGCGUGAACAGCGUCCAUACUCCUGCGGGAGGCAGCAGUAGCGAAUGGGCGGCAGUGGGCGGGAGCCUUACGGAGCAGGCGCGCGUGAGAGAUGAAGAUCUUCGGAUCGGGAAACUCUGUUAUUGGGGAAAAACAGAUGUGGAAGGAACUGUGCACAUCUUGACGGUACCUGGUCAAAAAGCCACGGCUAACUACGUG
RNAcentral lists this ribosomal RNA (497 nucleotides) under uncultured bacterium. RNAcentral's name for it is "partial 16S ribosomal RNA". It matches the Rfam family "Bacterial small subunit ribosomal RNA", at positions 28 to 507 of the family's 1533-position model. The record is from RNAcentral.